This 306-nucleotide unclassified non-coding RNA is filed under the name plant metagenome. RNAcentral describes it as "partial contains 5.8S ribosomal RNA, internal transcribed spacer 2, and large subunit ribosomal RNA". The stretch from base 1 to 105 matches the Rfam family "5.8S ribosomal RNA", at positions 50 to 154 of the family's 154-position model. The record is from RNAcentral.
GUAAUGCGAUAAGUAAUGUGAAUUGCAGAAUUCAGUGAAUCAUCGAAUCUUUGAACGCACAUUGCGCCCGCCAGUAUUCUGGCGGGCAUGCCUGUCCGAGCGUCAUUUCAACCAUCAAGCCCCCGGGCUUGUGUUGGGGACCUGCGGCUGCCCGCAGGCCCUGAAAACCAGUGGCGGGCUCGCUGUCACACCGAGCGUAGUAGCAAUCACCUCGCUCAGGGCGUGCUGCGGGUUCCGGCCGUUAAACAGCCUUACAAAACCCAAGGUUGACCUCGGAUCAGGUAGGAAGACCCGCUGAACUUAAGC